UACGUAGGGGGCAAGCGUUGUCCGGAUUUAUUGGGCGUAAGAGCGUGUAGGCGGCCAUACAGGUCAGCUGUGAAAACUCGAGGCUCAACCUCGAGACGUCGGUUGAAACCGUAUGGCUAGAGUCCGGAAGAGGAGAGUGGAAUUCCCGGUGUAGCGGUGAAAUGCGCAGAUAUCGGGAAGAACACCCGUGGCGAAGGCGGCUCUCUGGGACGGUACUGACGCUGAGACGCGAAAGCGUGGGGAGCGAACAGG
This 252-nucleotide ribosomal RNA is filed under the name uncultured bacterium. Its description in RNAcentral is "partial 16S ribosomal RNA". It matches the Rfam family "Bacterial small subunit ribosomal RNA", at positions 524 to 776 of the family's 1533-position model. The record is from RNAcentral.